GUGCUCGCUUCGGCAGGGCAUAUACUAAAAUUGGAAUGAUACUGAGAAGAUUAGCAUGGCCCCUUCGCAAGGAUGAUAUGCAAAUUCUUAAAGCAUUCCAUUUUUUU
This is a small nuclear RNA of Myotis lucifugus (little brown bat), 107 nucleotides long. The record is from Ensembl. NCBI's taxonomy places the organism in Eukaryota, Metazoa, Chordata, Mammalia, Chiroptera, Vespertilionidae.